GACGAACGCUGGCGGCGUGCUUAACACAUGCAAGUCGAACGGAAAGGCCCUGCUUUUGUGGGGUGCUCGAGUGGCGAACGGGUGAGUAACACGUGAGUAACCUGCCCUUGACUUUGGGAUAACUUCAGGAAACUGGGGCUAAUACCGGAUAGGAGCUCCUGCUGCAUGGUGGGGGUUGGAAAGUUUCGGCGGUUGGGGAUGGACUCGCGGCUUAUCAGCUUGUUGGUGGGGUAGUGGCUUACCAAGGCUUUGACGGGUAGCCGGCCUGAGAGGGUGACCGGCCACAUUGGGACUGAGAUACGGCCCAGACUCCUACGGGAGGCAGCAGUGGGGAAUAUUGCACAAUGGGCGGAAGCCUGAUGCAGCAACGCCGCGUUCGUGAUGACGGCCUUCGGGUUGUAAACCGCUUUCGCCUGUGACGAAGCGUGAGUGACGGUAAUGGGUAAAGAAGCACCGGCUAACUACGUG
This 468-nucleotide ribosomal RNA is filed under the name uncultured bacterium. RNAcentral describes it as "partial 16S ribosomal RNA". It matches the Rfam family "Bacterial small subunit ribosomal RNA", at positions 28 to 507 of the family's 1533-position model. The record is from RNAcentral.